CGGGGCGUGGCGCAGCCUGGUCAGCGCGCCUGUUUUGGGUACAGGAGGUCGUGGGUUCGAAUCCCGCCGCCCCGACCA
RNAcentral lists this transfer RNA (78 nucleotides) under Acetobacteraceae bacterium. Its description in RNAcentral is "tRNA-Pro". It matches the Rfam family "tRNA". From Rfam's summary of the family: Transfer RNA (tRNA) molecules are approximately 80 nucleotides in length. Their secondary structure includes four short double-helical elements and three loops (D, anti-codon, and T loops). Further hydrogen bonds mediate the characteristic L-shaped molecular structure. tRNAs have two regions of fundamental functional importance: the anti-codon, which is responsible for specific mRNA codon recognition, and the 3' end, to which the tRNAs corresponding amino acid is attached (by aminoacyl-tRNA synthetases). tRNAs cope with the degeneracy of the genetic code in two manners: having more than one tRNA (with a specific anti-codon) for a particular amino acid; and 'wobble' base-pairing, i.e. permitting non-standard base-pairing at the 3rd anti-codon position. RNAcentral also lists the same sequence under 4 other names. Lineage: Bacteria; Pseudomonadati; Pseudomonadota; Alphaproteobacteria; Acetobacterales; Acetobacteraceae. The record is from RNAcentral.